RNAcentral lists this transfer RNA (72 nucleotides) under Fukomys damarensis (Damara mole-rat). It matches the Rfam family "tRNA". From Rfam's summary of the family: Transfer RNA (tRNA) molecules are approximately 80 nucleotides in length. Their secondary structure includes four short double-helical elements and three loops (D, anti-codon, and T loops). The record is from Rfam by way of RNAcentral. Lineage: Eukaryota; Metazoa; Chordata; Mammalia; Rodentia; Bathyergidae.
GGUUAUGUAGUUUAACAGUAAAACACUUACUUAGAAUUCAGGAAGCUCUGGGUUCAAUUUCCAGCAGCACCA